RNAcentral lists this ribosomal RNA (700 nucleotides) under Pseudomonas sp. MY-CA170. Its description in RNAcentral is "bacterial SSU rRNA". It matches the Rfam family "Bacterial small subunit ribosomal RNA", at positions 83 to 779 of the family's 1533-position model. The record is from RNAcentral. RNAcentral also lists the same sequence under 1 other name. Lineage: Bacteria; Pseudomonadati; Pseudomonadota; Gammaproteobacteria; Pseudomonadales; Pseudomonadaceae.
CUCCUGGAUUCAGCGGCGGACGGGUGAGUAAUGCCUAGGAAUCUGCCUGGUAGUGGGGGACAACGUUUCGAAAGGAACGCUAAUACCGCAUACGUCCUACGGGAGAAAGCAGGGGACCUUCGGGCCUUGCGCUAUCAGAUGAGCCUAGGUCGGAUUAGCUAGUUGGUGAGGUAAUGGCUCACCAAGGCGACGAUCCGUAACUGGUCUGAGAGGAUGAUCAGUCACACUGGAACUGAGACACGGUCCAGACUCCUACGGGAGGCAGCAGUGGGGAAUAUUGGACAAUGGGCGAAAGCCUGAUCCAGCCAUGCCGCGUGUGUGAAGAAGGUCUUCGGAUUGUAAAGCACUUUAAGUUGGGAGGAAGGGUUGUAGAUUAAUACUCUGCAAUUUUGACGUUACCGACAGAAUAAGCACCGGCUAACUCUGUGCCAGCAGCCGCGGUAAUACAGAGGGUGCAAGCGUUAAUCGGAAUUACUGGGCGUAAAGCGCGCGUAGGUGGUUUGUUAAGUUGGAUGUGAAAUCCCCGGGCUCAACCUGGGAACUGCAUCCAAAACUGGCAAGCUAGAGUAUGGUAGAGGGUGGUGGAAUUUCCUGUGUAGCGGUGAAAUGCGUAGAUAUAGGAAGGAACACCAGUGGCGAAGGCGACCACCUGGACUGAUACUGACACUGAGGUGCGAAAGCGUGGGGAGCAAACAGGAUU